Molecule: small nucleolar RNA, 107 nt
Organism: Benincasa hispida (wax gourd)
Lineage: Eukaryota; Viridiplantae; Streptophyta; Magnoliopsida; Cucurbitales; Cucurbitaceae
Source: RefSeq, a predicted model, not a curated record
AGUCCAUGAUUUGGGCAAUUUUUGACCAAUCCCUUAAAACGCUCCCAUGCGGUGCUUAAGGUCUCAACUUCUUCUUGUUCAAAGUUCAUAAUCUCUCAACACCUCCU